UUGAUAAAUCAUGGAUUGACAAACCACAAGACACACUUGAAUAUGAAAAUGGAUUGAUUAAUUUUUUGAAUUUUUCAUUUCACCAUAAAUCUAUUGACGGUCUUAAGAUAAAGUGCCCAUGUUCAAAAUGUGGUUUCAAGAAGUGGGGAACAUGGGAUGAGGUUUAUGUACACCUCAAAAAUAGACCUUUUCCAAAAAAUUACAAAGUUUGGAACUGGCAUGGUGAAGGGUCAAGUAUAAAUGAGCCUCAAGUAUUUGAAAGAACACAUGUCGCAGAAGAUACCUUCCAACCACAGAAUACAAUGGAAAACAUGGUCCAUGAUGCAUUUGGAUUUACCCAAAGUAGUCCGAAUAAUCUUGGUCCAUCUUCUGAGAACAACAACGAAGGGUGUAAUUCAAUGUGGGGGAAGACAAAGCCGAGUUUUUUGAUUUGUUAAAAGAUGUUAAUCAACCAUUAUAUGAAGGGUGCAAAAACUUCUCAAAGUUGUCAUUUCUAAUCAAAUUGUAUCAUAUAAAAUGCUUGUGUGGAAUAAGUGACAAAGCAAUGACUAUGAUUAUAAAGUUAUUAAAAGAUGUGUUUGUUGAUGCCAAGAUUCCUGUUUCAUUCUAUGAGGCUAAGAAAAUCAUCAACAAACUUCGUCUUGAUUAUACCAAGAUAGAUGCUUUCCCAAAUGAUUGUAUGUUAUACUGGGGUGAAGAAAAUAAAGACUUAGAAGAAUGUAAGCGAUGCAAGACAUCUAGGUGGAAGGAUGACAAGAAGAAGCAAUCUGCAGAGAUACUACGCUACUUUCCACUAAAGCCAAGAUUGCAAAGACUUUUUAUGUGUUCUAAAACCGCAAAGUCAAUGAAAUGGCAUGCAUUGGAGGCUAAUAAAGAUGGUAUGAUGAGACAUCCUAGAGAUUCUGAGGCAUGGAAAACAUUUGACUUACGUCAUCCAGAAUUUGCUACGGAUUCUCGAAAUAUACGACUUGGCCUAGCCACCGAUGGCUUUAACCCUUUUGGUGUGAUGAGUACAAACUACAGCAUUUGGCUAGUGGUCCUUAUCCCAUAUAAUCUCCCUCCUUGGGAAUGCAUGAAGCAAACAUCAACAAUCCUUUCCAUGAUCAUUCCUGGAAAACAAGCGUCGGGAAAUAAUAUAGAUGUGUAUCUACAACCUCUCAUCAAAGAGUUAAAAGAAAUGUGGUAUGAUGGAGUGAAAACAUUAGAUUCAUCAAAAAAUGAAAUGUUUAUGAUGAAGGCAGUUUUGAUGUGGACUAUUAGUGACUUUCCAGGACUUGGCACUUUAUCAGGAUGGAAUACACACACUAAGCUUGCUUGCCCCACUUGUAACAAUGACACUGAUAGUUUUAGAUUAAAGAAUGGUGGAAAAUGGUGUUUUAUGGGUCACCGCCGGUUUUUAGAAAAAGGUCAUAAACUUAGAUUGAGUCGGUCUCGUUUUAAUGGAAAAGUUGAGCAAAGAGAUGCCCCUGCUACUUUGUUAGGACAAGACAUCUUGAACCAACUAAAGGGAGCAAAUGUUACUUUUGGGAAAGUGUUAGAAUCUAAAGAAAAAGAUGGAGGAAAAAGAAAACGCAAGAAAAAAAUUGUUGAAGGACCGAGACAAUGGAGGAAGAAAAGUAUAUUUUUUGAUCUUCCUUAUUGGGAGUCCAAUUUGUUGCGCCAUAAUUUAGAUGUUAUGCACAUUGAAAAAAAUGUAUGUGAUAAUGUUGUAUACACUUUGCUCAAUGAAACUGGGAAAUCAAAAGAUAAUCUUAAAGCUCGUGAGGAUCUUAAAUUAAUGGGUAUAAGGAAGGAUCUUUGGCCAGAUAGUAAUAAAAGAUUUUGCCCAUCUUUGUUUACAAUGUCAAAUUCAAAGAAAGAUGUAUUCCUACAAACUUUGAGGAAUACUAGUUUUCCUGAUGGAUACUCAAGUAACAUUUCUAGGUGCGUUGACAUAAACAAUCGAAAACUUUUUAGGAUGAAAAGCCACGAUUGUCAUAUUCUUAUGGAGCAAAUACUACCUAUUGCUAUACGAAAUGUCCUACCAGACAAUGUGACUGCAGUGUUAGUAGAGUUUUGUUCAUUCUUUCGCCAAUUAUGUGCCAAGAGUUUAAGUCACUUGGAUCUCGAUAGACUCCAGUCUCGAAUCAUUCUCACUCUUUGUCACUUAGAAAUGUUAUUUCCUCCUUCAUUUUUUACAAUCAUGGUGCAUUUGACUUGUCACCUUAUUGGUGAAGCAAAACUUGGAGGUCCAGUACACUAUCGUUGGAUGUAUCCUAUUGAAAGGUGAUUAACUUACUUCAUUUUGAGGUUAUUCUUGUAUCUCCCCUUUAAGUUGUUCACAUUUUCUAAUUUUCAACCCCUUUUCUAGGUACUUAGGACACUUGAAAUCCUAUGUUAGGAAUAAGGCACAACCCGAAGGUUCUAUUGCUGAAGGAUACCUUGCAGAAGAGGUUCUCACAUUUUGCUCUCAAUAUAUAGAUGGGAUUGAGACUCGAAUCAAUAGACCUGCACGUAUUGAUGAUUAUCCUAAUGAAAGAGAUUCAUCCCACAGAUCUACAAUUUUUCCACCUAUAGGUAGGGCAGUAGGAGCAUUCUCAACCUUUGAUCUAUCAACCAUGGAGAAAACUCAAGCACAUCGAUAUGUGUUGUUAAAUUGUCCCCAAGUCAAACCUUAUAUUGAGUGAGUACCUCAAAGAUUUUCAAAUUAUGUCUAGUCAAGUAAGAUAUAUGAUAUUAAUCAUCCUAGAUUAAUAUCAAUUGUUUAUGUAGUGAAUUUAAGGAGUACUUACGGAUACGGUCUAAAAGGCGAAGGCAGUCAACAACAGAGAUAGAGAAAAUGAUUAGUAAAGAUUUCAUUGUUUGGUUUCCUCAAAGGGUUGGUUAAGUUUUCCAUAACCUUUGUUUAUUUUUAUGGAUGUUUAUAUACUUAUGUAAAUUACUAAAUCAUAUUUUCGAUUUCAAUUUAGAUUAUGAACCCCGACAUAUCAAAGAUAGUGUCAGAUGAUCUCAUGUAUCUUGCGAAAGGUCCAACAACACAAGCUAGAAGAUAUUCUGCAUUUAACAUUAAUGGAUUCAAAUUUUGAACCAUAGCACGAGAGCAUGGUUUGAAAACCCAAAAUAGUGGUGUUUAUUUAACAUCUUCAACAUCAUGUGUUGCUAGUAGUGUCGAUACAAACUUUAGAGAAGCAAACUUGUUAUAUUAUGGGAAAUUAGAAGAUAUCAUUGAGCUUAACUACUAUGGUCGAUUUAAAGUUACUUUAUUCAGAUGUAAAUGGGCUGACACCACUAAAGAUAGAGGGUACAAAAAAGAUUCGUGGGGUUUUACUUCCGUUAAUUUUUCAAGAAGUAUUCACAUGGGUGAUCGUGAAGAACAUGAUCCGUACAUUGAGGCCUCACAAGCCCAAAUGGUCUAUUAUGUGAAUGAUGAGAUAGAUAAAGACUGGAGUGUUAUUGUCCAUUUGAAGCCAAGAGACUUAUAUGAUAUGGGAGAUCAAAUAGAUAUUGAAGUUUGUCCUGAGCAAAACCUAGAUCAGUUUUUUGGAGACUCUGAUCAUUUGUCUUUAAUAAGGGAGGAUGUAGAUGAUGAACUAAUAAGUGAGGGGCAUGUUAAUGAUGACAUUGAUGGAGAUGAACUUAUGGCAGAAUAAGAGCAAUGAGUAUAUGUAGGUGAUGAACUAAUUGUCAUGGACAUCAAAUAUAACUCACAAGAAUAAGUAAUGCCAAAGCCAAGGAGAAUUACAAAUUUUCUUAAAUUAGCUAAUCAAGCAUCCUCACAACCUUCACAACAAAGUGUUGAAAGUUCUCAUCUUAGAGCUAAUGUAUCAUCUCAAUUACCUAACCAAACAUCCUCACAACCUUCACAACAAAGUGAUAAAAGUUCCCAUCUUAGAUAUAAUGUAUCAUCUCAAUUCCCUAACCAAACAUCCUCACAACCUUCAGAAGAAAGUCCUGAAAGUUCUCAUCUUAGAGAUAAUGUAUCAUCUAAAUUACCUAACCAAACAUCCUCACAACCUUCACAAGAAAGUGCUGAAAGUUCUCAUCUUAGAGAUAAUGUAUCAUCUCAAUUACCUAACCAAACAUCCUCACAACCUUCACAACAAAGUUGUGAACAUUCUCAUCUUAGAGUUAUUGUAUCAUCUCAAUUACCUAACCAAAUAUCCUCACAACCUUCACAACAAAGAGCUAAAAGUUCUCAACAUAGAGGCGGUCGAGCAUCUACCCAUUAUUGGCUUGUAGAUGCAC
Molecule: RNA transcript, 4224 nt
Organism: Lathyrus oleraceus (garden pea)
Lineage: Eukaryota; Viridiplantae; Streptophyta; Magnoliopsida; Fabales; Fabaceae
Exons: 2
Source: RefSeq, a predicted model, not a curated record